CAAGAGACGUGCAAGAACAAUCAAUAUACUUUUAGGCUGCGUUUGGGAACUUGGAUUUGGACCCUGGAUUUAAAAUCCAGGGUAUUUCAAAUCCAAAUAUCUAGUUUGGAGUUUCAAUUAAGCUAAGAUUUCAAAUCAAAUUAUUUAAGAGAGGAGAAAUUGAAAUCCCAAAUACAGAUAUUUCAAAUCCUACACUGGCCCUUGUUAUUUACCAAAUCCCGAUCCCGACUCCUCUCUCUCAUUUCUUAUUCCCCUCGAUCCCGACUCUCUAAGUUCUAUCUCAACGCAACACAGGUAACCUCUACCUCUAUCUCUCCUCUCUCUCCCCUUCCCAUCUCUCGUCGAAACCCGAUCUAGGGUUUAGAUCUCCCCCUUUCUCCUCUCUCCUCGUUCCAUCGAAACCCUAGAUCUGAUCUCUCCCCCUCGUCGUGUGCUCCCUCUUCCUCGUCGAUGCGUUCGCUUUGUAGUCCGAUCACAAGGUACGCUGAGCUUUAACCCUAAUUUGCUUGAUCCGAUGCUGGGAUCUUGAUUUCGAGCUUUAAAUUUGUUUGGAUUGAGCAGUUGUUUCAUUAGAUCCGGGAUUGAAUAUGGAAUAAUUCCUCUUUUUUGGUUAAAAUUUGAGCUGUUAGGGUUAUGCAGUGUUAGAUUUGUUAAAUUUGACCAGUCUUUUUGUUGUAUUAGUGGAGAAUUAUGUCAAAGUUUUCAUUUUUAAGAAGCAUCACUAUUAAAUCAUGCACCUUUACUGGCAUUUUCAUUUCUAAGACUGUGGGCAAGAAGAAAUUUCAAGAAAAAUGUUUGAACUUGGUCGUUGUCUCGUUGAUGCUUCAUGGUCGAUGUGUUGUAAGGUAAAAGGGAGAUAGUCAAGAGGGCUUGAUCAUUCUAGUGAGUAGUCUGAUUUCUAUACGCAUCCACCUUAAAAGAAUGAUAUUGCAUCCAACACACCUUAAGACAAAGACCCAUCCAUCCAAAUAGUAGACAAGUUUAAAGUUAUAGACCUUAUAGUUAUCUACAUUCUCGAAGAAGGCAUUGUUCUUACAAUAAUAGUGUCUGAUAUCAUUACUCCAAAUUAACAAUUAGUUGGAAUCCUAAGGUCUUACAGUUUUCAGAGUUUUAUGAGGGCGCACGCUGUUGCCAUUAGGCAUUGGAAAUAUUUACAAAUAGAAUUGAAGGAUGGAAGAGAUAUGGCAGUCCAAUGAUGGGUUUUAUUAGCUAAUGCAAAAACAAUGAUCAUGAGAGGAUCCUCAAUGACCAUUUCAAGCACUUGUUAGUGUUGAACUCCGCUAUGUUUUUAAGGUAGAUUUUAGGUUUUAUCAGACUGGACAUCUCCAUUUCAAUGACCAAAUAAUGUUGAUAGCAAUAUUGUAUCAUGCAUCUUUUCUAGUGCAUUUUGACAAUAGAGCUUUGUAAUUAGUUUUGCAAGUAUCUGAACUAAAUGUGACUCGAUAAUGUACACUCUAUUGACAAAUUUAAUUUGUAGUCUAAAUAUGGGGCUCAAAGUGGCCCAAAUGUAUGCAUUUACUCCAAACUGACAAUGAGUUAGUAUAUAAACUGACAAUGUUUAGAUAAUACUCAAUUUGGCUUGGUAGAAUUCUUCAUGAUUUGUUAUUACAAGUUACUUUAUUUAUUGUUGAGUAUGAUAUAUCAGUGCAGUCAUGAGCAAUAAUUUUUCUAAGGGUUUGCAAUAAAAGGAAAAAAAGGCAUAAGGUAGUAAACUGCAUUUAUUGCUUGUAUAGCAUUUACUAUUUAGUUUUUCUUUCUACGACAUUAAUUUGAGAAAGCACUUGUAAUGUGUGUAAGAGCAAUGUUAAAUGUAGCCAUCAUCAACUCAGGGCUAUUGUCAACGUUAGCACAAUAAAAGCCUCAAUAACAAACAAAUCCUUCAUUGAUAGUCUAAACAAUAGUCAGCAUUAGCUAUAUUUUUUUGAACACAAUCACUUUGUUUGUAUUUUGGUCAAGUAAAUUGCAUGCUUCUGACAAUGUUGUUCAAUGUUGUUCGUGAAUAUGUAUGCUAGCAAAUCUUGAAGGCUUGGUGUAGAAAGGAUCCUUGUUGAGAGAACGUAGCUCUAGUUCUUCUGUGACUUAAAUUUGCACGUCCAUGGUUUGAGCUUAUUACUCUUGCACAUUUACUAAAUUUCUCGAUAAUUUCUAUGUUAAGUUUUGUUCAAGAAAUAGUUGUCACUUGUCAUAAACAGCUUUGCGUUAAUGACUAUCGUAUCAGUUACAAAGAAAACCCUAAUGUACAUAUUUCAUAUCAAAACUUUGGGGUAUAUAGACGUGAUAAUUUUUUUGAUCAAGUAGCGUUCCCCAAUACUUUGGUUCUUCUAAACACUAUAAUGCCUUUUUUUUAACUGCCUUGAUGCAGUUUGUCUUGGCCCACUCCUGGCCCUUUUUUAUAUUCUGAAAAACUUUUACCUUUUGUUAAAUUUAUUGUUGGCAUAGCUCAAAAUGGCUAGCUCCAUCGGAAAUAACUUGAUUUGUUAUUGGCAACAAGGUUUUUGUCAUCAGUGAGUGGAUUUUCCAAGAAAAGUGGAAUAUAAUCAUGACAUUUAACUAACAGGUUUUGGAACUAGGCAUUGUGGUUCACUCAGUGAUCAUUGGCAUCUCCUUGGGCACCUCACAGAGCUCCUCAACAGUAAAACCCUUGUUAGGUGCAUUGAGCUUCCACCAAUUCUUUGACUAGAGGAAGGAAGGAUUAUCUCGUCGGAUUUUGCCCUGCAGGUAGAUAAAUCUGCAUCAUCUAAAGUUACCGUAGCAUACUAUCAUGUGAAAAUUUUAUGUACCGCGCAUUUUUGAGUUUUCAAAUUUAUCCUGUAAUCAGAUUUGUUUCAUUUCCAUUUCAUGCAGAAUAGUAUUUAAAAAAUCUAAUUAAACUUCCAAUAUUAUAGUGCACAGAUAGACUCAACUCAAAUAAAGAAGCUCCCCUUUUCAUCUAAACUAGCAAAAUCUAGCCAUCCAGCUUUCAUUUUGUUGUUAUAUCAUUGUUUGCUUCAUUUUGCUGUAAUAUCGAAAUUUGCUUUUAUGAGUUACUGGACUUCUUGUGUUUCAUUGGAUAUCUAUGCGGUUGGUUUAAUAUAUUAGCAUUAAGGACAUUUGUCUUUAUAAUUAAUUGAGCGUUAUUUCCUCCUAAGUGUUGAACUAUGUCACUUAUAAGGUUUGUUUAUGAUUUAUAUCUUGGUCUGUUCUGACAUGUUUAUACUUACUUGCUUGUGAUGCACAUAAUGUUGGGGUUAUUGUCAACCCAAAGGGGGAAAUGAAAGGUAUGUCUACACCCUUUUCCCAUGGAUUAUCCUUUUUUUAACUAUCUCAGCAUCAGACUCUAUUUUGUACAUGCAUUGUUGUUUGUAGUGAAAACUAUAAUGCAUAAAUUUGUUUUUGCUUCUUUAUUUAAUAUUAUAUCAAUCUAUGUUUUCUGCUUCUUCAGGAUCUGUAAUUACUGGACCAAUUGGAAAGGAGUGUGCUGAUUUGUGGCCUAGGAUUGCUAGUGCAGCCAAUGCCAUUGUGUAAUAUCUAGAUUUUUCUUCAGGUGUCAGUGAGGAGUAGUAGUUUCAUGUUAUUAUUAUUGAAAAAAAAGGGAGUUUUUUUUAAAUAUGGGUCCAUAUUUGUAUUGGUGGUUUUUGUUUUCCCGUGACAUACAUAUAUUGGAAUUGAUAUUCUGGGAUCCAGCUGAUGGUAA
Asparagus officinalis (garden asparagus) is the source of this 3673-nucleotide long non-coding RNA. RefSeq lists it as uncharacterized. The transcript has 2 exons. Lineage: Eukaryota; Viridiplantae; Streptophyta; Magnoliopsida; Asparagales; Asparagaceae. The record is from RefSeq and is a predicted model, not a curated record.